Molecule: ribosomal RNA, 760 nt
Filed under: bacterium Pv101
Lineage: Bacteria
Description: bacterial SSU rRNA
Rfam family: Bacterial small subunit ribosomal RNA
Source: RNAcentral
UAACAGGAAGUGCUUGCACUUCGCUGACGAGUGGCGGACGGGUGAGUAAUGCUUGGGAACUUGCCUUUGCGAGGGGGAUAACAGUUGGAAACGACUGCUAAUACCGCAUAAUGUCUACGGACCAAACGGGGCUUAGGCUCCGGCGCAAAGAGAGGCCCAAGUGAGAUUAGCUAGUUGGUAAGGUAAAGGCUUACCAAGGCAACGAUCUCUAGCUGUUCUGAGAGGAAGAUCAGCCACACUGGAACUGAGACACGGUCCAGACUCCUACGGGAGGCAGCAGUGGGGAAUAUUGCACAAUGGGGGAAACCCUGAUGCAGCCAUGCCGCGUGUGUGAAGAAGGCCUUCGGGUUGUAAAGCACUUUCAGUUGUGAGGAAAAGUUAGUAGUUAAUACCUGCUAGCCGUGACGUUAACAACAGAAGAAGCACCGGCUAACUCCGUGCCAGCAGCCGCGGUAAUACGGAGGGUGCGAGCGUUAAUCGGAAUUACUGGGCGUAAAGCGCACGCAGGCGGUUUGUUAAGCUAGAUGUGAAAGCCCCGGGCUCAACCUGGGAUGGUCAUUUAGAACUGGCAGACUAGAGUCUUGGAGAGGGGAGUGGAAUUCCAGGUGUAGCGGUGAAAUGCGUAGAUAUCUGGAGGAACAUCAGUGGCGAAGGCGACUCCCUGGCCAAAGACUGACGCUCAUGUGCGAAAGUGUGGGUAGCGAACAGGAUUAGAUACCCUGGUAGUCCACACCGUAAACGCUGUCUACUAGCUGUUUGU